This 1120-nucleotide ribosomal RNA is filed under the name Streptomyces sp. Its description in RNAcentral is "bacterial SSU rRNA". It matches the Rfam family "Bacterial small subunit ribosomal RNA", at positions 321 to 1445 of the family's 1533-position model. Lineage: Bacteria; Bacillati; Actinomycetota; Actinomycetes; Kitasatosporales; Streptomycetaceae. The record is from RNAcentral.
GAGACACGGCCCAGACUCCUACGGGAGGCAGCAGUGGGGAAUAUUGCACAAUGGGCGAAAGCCUGAUGCAGCGACGCCGCGUGAGGGAUGACGGCCUUCGGGUUGUAAACCUCUUUCAGCAGGGAAGAAGCGAGAGUGACGGUACCUGCAGAAGAAGCGCCGGCUAACUACGUGCCAGCAGCCGCGGUAAUACGUAGGGCGCGAGCGUUGUCCGGAAUUAUUGAGCGUAAAGAGCUCGUAGGCGGCUUGUCACGUCGGAUGUGAAAGCCCGGGGCUUAACCCCGGGUCUGCAUUCGAUACGGGCAGGCUAGAGUUCGGUAGGGGAGAUCGGAAUUCCUGGUGUAGCGGUGAAAUGCGCAGAUAUCAGGAGGAACACCGGUGGCGAAGGCGGAUCUCUGGGCCGAUACUGACGCUGAGGAGCGAAAGCGUGGGGAGCGAACAGGAUUAGAUACCCUGGUAGUCCACGCCGUAAACGUUGGGAACUAGGUGUGGGCGACAUUCCACGUCGUCCGUGCCGCAGCUAACGCAUUAAGUUCCCCGCCUGGGGAGUACGGCCGCAAGGCUAAAACUCAAAGGAAUUGACGGGGGCCCGCACAAGCAGCGGAGCAUGUGGCUUAAUUCGACGCAACGCGAAGAACCUUACCAAGGCUUGACAUACACCGGAAAACCGUGGAGACACGGUCCCCCUUGUGGUCGGUGUACAGGUGGUGCAUGGCUGUCGUCAGCUCGUGUCGUGAGAUGUUGGGUUAAGUCCCGCAACGAGCGCAACCCUUGUUCUGUGUUGCCAGCAUGCCUUUCGGGGUGAUGGGGACUCACAGGAGACUGCCGGGGUCAACUCGGAGGAAGGUGGGGACGACGUCAAGUCAUCAUGCCCCUUAUGUCUUGGGCUGCACACGUGCUACAAUGGCCGGUACAAUGAGCUGCGAUACCGCGAGGUGGAGCGAAUCUCAAAAAGCCGGUCUCAGUUCGGAUUGGGGUCUGCAACUCGACCCCAUGAAGUCGGAGUUGCUAGUAAUCGCAGAUCAGCAUUGCUGCGGUGAAUACGUUCCCGGGCCUUGUACACACCGCCCGUCACGUCACGAAAGUCGGUAACACCCGAAGCCGGUGGCCCAACCCCUUG